RNAcentral lists this ribosomal RNA (486 nucleotides) under uncultured bacterium. Its description in RNAcentral is "partial 16S ribosomal RNA". It matches the Rfam family "Bacterial small subunit ribosomal RNA", at positions 29 to 507 of the family's 1533-position model. The record is from RNAcentral.
AUUGAACGCUGGCGGCAUGCCUUACACAUGCAAGUCGAACGGCAGCACGGGUGCUUGCACCUGGUGGCGAGUGGCGAACGGGUGAGUAAUACAUCGGAACAUGUCCUGUAGUUGGGGAUAGCCCGGCGAAAGCCGGAUUAAUACCGCCUACGAUCUACGGAGGACAGCGGGGGACCUUCGGGCCUCGCGCUAUAGGGUUGGCCGAUGGCUGAUUAGCUAGUUGGUGGGGUAAAGGCCUACCAAGGCGACGAUCAGUAGCUGGUCUGAGAGGACGACCAGCCACACUGGGACUGAGACACGGCCCAGACUCCUACGGGAGGCAGCAGUGGGGAAUUUUGGAGAAUGGGCGAAAGCCUGAUGCAGCAAUGCCGCGUGUGUGAAGAGGGCCUUCGGGUUGGAAAGCACUUUUGUCCGGAAAGAAAUCCUUGGCCCUAAUACGGUCGGGGGAUGACGGUACCGGAAGAAUAAGCACCGGCUAACUACGUG